Molecule: RNase P RNA, 396 nt
Filed under: Chloroflexota bacterium
Lineage: Bacteria; Bacillati; Chloroflexota
Description: Chloroflexi bacterium RNase P RNA component class A
Rfam family: Bacterial RNase P class A
About the family: Ribonuclease P (RNase P) is a ubiquitous endoribonuclease, found in archaea, bacteria and eukarya as well as chloroplasts and mitochondria. Its best characterised activity is the generation of mature 5'-ends of tRNAs by cleaving the 5'-leader elements of precursor-tRNAs.
Source: RNAcentral
CAAGUUGACCAGGUGGUCGCGGUUUGCUUCGGCGAGCUGAGGAAAGUCCGCACUCCACAGAGCACGGUGCCGGCUAACGGCCGGGCGGGGCGACCCGACGGAAAGUGCAACAGAGAGGCGUAUUGCCGGUCGGAGGUUGUACUUCCGGCCGGUGAGGGUGAAACGGUGGUGUAAGAGACCACCAGCAGCGGCAGUAAUGCCGUUGGCUCUGCAAACCCCACCGGGAGCAAGGUCAAGCAGGAUGGAGCGUUGUGCCUCGGCACGAUGCGCGGCGCUGCUCGCGCCGCCGACAUUCGGGUAGAUCGCAUGAGCCAACCAGUAAUGGCUGGCCAAGAUAGAUGACCACUACCCGCCUGACGGCGGGGACAGAAUGCGGCUUAUCGGUCAACUUGGCAG